RNAcentral lists this small nuclear RNA (107 nucleotides) under Sciurus vulgaris (Eurasian red squirrel). The record is from RNAcentral. Lineage: Eukaryota; Metazoa; Chordata; Mammalia; Rodentia; Sciuridae.
GUGCUUGCUUUGGUAGCACAUAUACUAAAACUGGAACAAUACAGAGAAGAUUAGCAUGGCCCCUGUGCAAGGAUGACAAGCAAAUUCAUGAAGCAUUCCAUAUUUUU